RNAcentral lists this non-coding RNA (557 nucleotides) under Mus musculus (house mouse). Lineage: Eukaryota; Metazoa; Chordata; Mammalia; Rodentia; Muridae. The record is from RNAcentral.
GAGGACCGUAUUCAUGGAAGAGGAUUGAACAGACUACUGAGUUCUUAAGAGAAAAAUGGCACUUAAGAAAUUGAUGGUGAUAUCAAAGGAAGGUUACUUAUUACUCUUGGACUUUGAUGAUGAGGACGAUGACAUAAAAGUUUCAGAGGAGGCUCUUGCGGAAGAGAUGAAGUAGACAGUAUGUUGGAUAAAUCUGGAGUAAAGAACCCAGCAAUUGGUAAAGAUGAGAAUAUAUCGCCUCAAGUAAAAGGAGAUGAAGACAUGGGAGAUGAAGUUGACAGUAUGUUGGCUACAUCUGGAGGUCUUUUCUCCUGAGAACACGGGACUCCAGCAUCUUCGGAUUCUGCUCUUGGAGGUGGGUUUGCCCCACAUCCUCUAUAUUGCAGAAAACAAGACUAGGCUCUACCUCUGUAGAUCAAGCACGACUGAAAUCCGUGCUCUCAAAAGAUGCUGGGGAGAAAGAGUGCCAUUCUUCACAAAUGCUGCUGCAUCAUUGGACUGAAAGUGAAUGGCCCAUGUGUUGCCACUGAUGUGAGCCAUUUGCCUGUUGUGCUUCA